GGGGAUGACCAGGAUUUGACUUUAUUGAUCCCUGGUAAAAGUGCAAGCCAGAACGCAUAACGCUGUAAAGGUCUGCAAAAAUACAUGCCAAUGAUGACAUGGAAUACGCAUAUGUGGGAGCACCAGCUUUCGCAGGCGUUGCUGCUUAAUUUUUUUAACGCAGCAAGUGUUUAAUCUUCUGUCUAUAGAAGGUUAAAACGCUUCAUAAAGAUAGACUGAGGCUGUUAGCAGAAAUAGCCCGCUUGUUAGUGCCAAGUAGCCGAACUACAAAAGGGUAACCCAAGGACUUGCGGAAAGAGGUAGGUCGGUUAAACACCUUAUCUUUUCUAAGAACAAGUUUAACUAAGCUUGUAGUACUUUUAUUAAGGCAAUUUAGGACGCGGGUUCGAUUCCCGCCAUCUCCACCA
RNAcentral lists this transfer-messenger RNA (407 nucleotides) under Patescibacteria group. RNAcentral's name for it is "JAAZNL01 sp012798315 Standard tmRNA". It matches the Rfam family "transfer-messenger RNA". Rfam says of the family: Bacterial tmRNA, also known as 10Sa RNA or SsrA, is named for its dual tRNA and mRNA-like properties. Its role is to liberate the mRNA from a stalled ribosome. To accomplish this part of the tmRNA is used as a reading frame that ends in a translation stop signal. RNAcentral also lists the same sequence under 1 other name. The record is from RNAcentral.